Nylanderia fulva is the source of this 569-nucleotide non-coding RNA. The record is from RefSeq and is a predicted model, not a curated record. Lineage: Eukaryota; Metazoa; Arthropoda; Insecta; Hymenoptera; Formicidae.
GUCUUUUGUUAUUAUCGUUCGUUAUUGUAGAUUAUUUGUCUAUCUUUACAAUAUACAUAUCUACAGCCAGCACAAGCGACGACGAAACUACCACCGCACAAAGUAAUUGUCGCAUAUUGAGAUCUUCAUAAAUGGAAAUGGCAGUUAAUAUUUUGAAUACGAAUCCUGAAAUAAAUGUCAAGGAUAUUUUCAAAAUAAAGAAUUUUCAAGCAUCACAAAGGUUACAAAUGAUAAAAACGAUAUGCAGAAUCAAAAGAAGACACAUGUAAAUUUUGAAGGACUAUUCACGUUCAAGACUGACUUGAAGUGGUUUAAUAUCAUAUAUGCUAUUAUUUUACAUACUGGCAUGUUGUAUGGCUUUUUAACUUUUAAUUGGUUCGAAGAUAUCAGAACAACUUUUUGGAGGUGUUCUAUUUUAAUUACCACAAGUGAAUAUGUUAAAAAAUAUACAAGAUAUUGGAAAAUGUUUUACAUAAAAGAUUUCGAAGUAGAAGACGUCUUAUCGUAAGCAUAAUUUUAUUCCAAGCAGAGACAUUGGAAUUUCGAAGUCAUUACUUUUUUUUAAACGA